UCCUGAUCAAGCACACAGAGUGAGUGGGUUCAGAGUAGCAUUGAGGCUGGGAAUCUGAAACCUUGGACGCAUCCAGGAGGGCUUCCUGGAGGAGGCAGAGCUGGAGAAAAGGAUGGAGAAGAAUAGAGCUUCAGGCCAGGGAAUGGAAGAGUUAGGACAGCGCCUGUCUUCCGGAGCCAGGAGGUGCCCACUUCUGUGGGUUUUUCCUGGGAAACUGAAGGCCAGGAACAAGCCUUCCUCAGUCUGUAUGGAGGGGCCCAACACAGGGCUGGGCCAAGGCUGGGCAAAGCCCACAACAACAGCAGACACUGGGGAAGAUGCCAGGAGGCAUGCUGGGUAGCUGAGGAUGACAAUCUGGGAUCACAAAAGCCAACAUUGGGUAUCUUUUUGUUGUUGUUUUUGCUUGUCUUGCU
Molecule: long non-coding RNA, 413 nt
Organism: Mesocricetus auratus (golden hamster)
Lineage: Eukaryota; Metazoa; Chordata; Mammalia; Rodentia; Cricetidae
Exons: 4
Source: RefSeq, a predicted model, not a curated record